AGAGUUUGAUCCUGGCUCAGAUUGAACGCUGGCGGUAUGCUUUACACAUGCAAGUCGAACGGCAGCAUAGGUGCUUGCACCUGAUGGCGAGUGGCGAACGGGUGAGUAAUGCAUCGGAACGUGCCCAGUCGUGGGGGAUAACGCAGCGAAAGCUGUGCUAAUACCGCAUACGAUCUAUGGAUGAAAGCGGGGGACCUUCGGGCCUCGCGCGAUUGGAGCGGCCGAUGUUAGAUUAGGUAGUUGGUGAGGUAAAGGCUCACCAAGCCUACGAUCUAUAGCUGGUCUGAGAGGACGACCAGCCACACUGGAACUGAGACACGGUCCAGACUCCUACGGGAGGCAGCAGUGGGGAAUUUUGGACAAUGGGCGAAAGCCUGAUCCAGCAAUACCGCGUGCAGGAAGAAGGCCUUCGGGUUGUAAACUGCUUUUGUACGGAACGAAACGGUCUGGAUUAAUACUCUGGGCUAAUGACGGUACCGUAAGAAUAAGCACCGGCUAACUACGUGCCAGCAGCCGCGGUAAUACGUAGGGUGCAAGCGUUAAUCGGAAUUACUGGGCGUAAAGCGUGCGCAGGCGGUUUUGUAAGACAGGCGUGAAAUCCCCGGGCUCAACCUGGGAAUUGCGCUUGUGACUGCAAGGCUAGAGUACGGUAGAGGGGGGUAGAAUUCCGCGUGUAGCAGUGAAAUGCGU
RNAcentral lists this ribosomal RNA (690 nucleotides) under uncultured beta proteobacterium. Its description in RNAcentral is "bacterial SSU rRNA". It matches the Rfam family "Bacterial small subunit ribosomal RNA", at positions 8 to 691 of the family's 1533-position model. Lineage: Bacteria; Pseudomonadati; Pseudomonadota; Betaproteobacteria. The record is from RNAcentral.